Molecule: long non-coding RNA, 396 nt
Organism: Carassius gibelio (silver crucian carp)
Lineage: Eukaryota; Metazoa; Chordata; Actinopteri; Cypriniformes; Cyprinidae
Exons: 3
Source: RefSeq, a predicted model, not a curated record
UCUAAAUAUUUUGCUCACAGAUCAUUAUUAACAUUCUGUAUAUAAUUCAAUUUUAUUUACUCUCCCCUUUUUAUUAUUUUUAUUUUUAUUUUUAGCUGAAAAGACGUAAAGGCAGUCAGCCCAGUGGUGUUUCUGGAGAGGGAUUCCUUCAGAAAUGGAGAAGACAGAAAGCUGCGGAGGCAGAUAUAUGCAGCAGUCUAAAAUAUCAAGCUCAACAGCUCACUCAAGAGCCAACCCUCACAAACCUUCCUAAAAACUAAAAGAGCUAUUACUGAGUCUCAGCGAAUCUUGCCAUGAUCAGCUCUUCCCAGAAGAGAAGGAAGACCAAGGAAAUGAUUUGCUCAGGAUGAGGAAUGAAGAUGGCCAUCUUGAGCUCAAACAAACAGAAGUCCUCUG